UUGAGCGCAUCCUGAGUGUUCUGGUACCCAAGGCAUAUGGUGCAUAUUUAUAGGGCUCCAUCUGAGGGCUUCCAUAAAUUAAGCCGACACAGUUAUCCGUAAGAAAGUAAAAUAAGCACUUUGCUCUAAAAACCAAAAGAAGUUUUCCAAACCCUACCUCUGUGCAUCUAGCUAGCUACCACAAACACAGAAUCCUGAAAGAGAAAUUCUAGAAACAGCAAAAGUGCUAACCACUCAUCUUUAGCAAGCUGGCUUUUUUCAGAACGUAUACGAAGCACAUAGAGUGCACAGUUUAGAACCAGCAAUCUUCAUUCUCGCAGAUUCAUUUCACUGUGUCCACGGAAAUUUCUGGAUGUUCCCUUUGGACCAGUUUGAGAGACGAGGAUCACUUCCACUGCCUACGAAAGUGAUUGCCAUUGAAUCAGGCUUGCGUGGGCCCCUGGGGAGCGGCAAGGUCAUGGGACAGCUGGAGCUGCCCACUCAGUGGCUGACUGUGUAUUGGACUCACACUGCCUUGCUGCUGGUGCCAGGCCUUAGCAGGAUGCAACCGCGUGUGGAUGGACAACAGUAAAUGUGUGUGUGCAGUGGGGGCACAGAGCCCAAUUUGUGGCGGUGUAUUUACCCUUUUAGGAUAGUUGCACCCAGACUGGGGGUCUAACCAGCCUUCUCUUCUCUCCUGGUGGGUCUUCUCAUUGAAGUAGUUUGGGAUCUUUCUACAGAAACCACUUUUGUUUGUUUGAUUUUGACUUGUUUAUUCCUCUGACCCUACCUUCAUAGAGAACAAAUCACAACCGGGGCUGCUUCCUGCCUUUCUAAGACCCAGGCCCAUGCAGCUCUAGUGACGGCAGAAUUUUCGUUCUUGCUAAUUAACCAGUUUCCUUUAACGUAACUUCCUUUUAUCCUCUCUUAUCCCUCUGUCAUCACUCAUUUAUUAUGAUAAUCCCUUAACAGGGGUAUAAUACUCUAUAGUUUGUAACAGGCUUUCCCUUGCAAUUUCUCAUUUGCUUCUUAAUCAAAAUCUGUGAAUUAAUCGAGUUAAUGUUUUUUAUCAUAUCCAGCUUAGCAGUGGGAAACCAGUCAUCGGCCAUUCCUCACCUCCUCUGGCCUUCCAUUAAGAAUAUUAGUCUCGAGAGUGCCCAUCAUAGCGCAGUGGAAAGGAAUCCAACUAGUAUCCAUGAGAACACGGGUUCAAUCCCUGGCCUUGCUCAGUGUGUAGGGGAUCUGGCAUUGCUGUGAA
RNAcentral lists this long non-coding RNA (1237 nucleotides) under Sus scrofa (pig). RNAcentral describes it as "lncRNA (ENSSSCG00070014907.1)". The record is from RNAcentral. Lineage: Eukaryota; Metazoa; Chordata; Mammalia; Artiodactyla; Suidae.